Molecule: ribosomal RNA, 492 nt
Filed under: uncultured bacterium
Lineage: Bacteria
Description: partial 16S ribosomal RNA
Rfam family: Bacterial small subunit ribosomal RNA
Source: RNAcentral
AGUGAACGCUGGCGGUAGACCUAACACAUGCAAGUCGAACGGCAGCACAGUAAGAGCUUGCUCUUAUGGGUGGCGAGUGGCGGACGGGUGAGGAAUACAUCGGAAUCUACUUUUUCGUGGGGGAUAACGUAGGGAAACUUACGCUAAUACCGCAUACGACCUACGGGUGAAAGCAGGAGAUCUUCGGACCUUGCGCGAUUGAAUGAGCCGAUGUCGGAUUAGAUAGUUGGCGGGGUAAAGGCCCACCAAGGCGACGAUCCGUAGCUGGUCUGAGAGGAUGAUCAGCCACACUGGAACUGAGACACGGUCCAGACUCCUACGGGAGGCAGCAGUGGGGAAUAUUGGACAAUGGGCGCAAGCCUGAUCCAGCCAUACCGCGUGGGUGAAGAAGGCCUUCGGGUUGUAAAGCCCUUUUGUUGGGAAAGAAAAGCAGCAGGUUAAUACCCCGCUGUUCUGACGGUACCCAAAGAAUAAGCACCGGCUAACUUCGUG